GUAAACGCAAAUGCUCACUAGGAAGAGUGCCUGUGCAUUCGGCUAGUCAUUUCUGUAAAAGACAAGACGUGGGUGCAACAGUCAAUACGUCCAUCUAAAAAAGAAAUAGGAAGUGCGGGAAUGCAGAAAACACAUAAGAUGUCACCACAGGCCUCAUAACAGCUGGAAUGAUGACCAUAGGGUGGGUGCAUAACCUGUUCAAUUCAGCAAGCAUCUGAAUUCAAGCAAACAUCCCUGAUGAGGUUCCUUCUGACGAUGCAAAUAUGAUCAGUAUCAAAGAUGCUCACCAGAAUGACCAGCCAUAGUCCCAUGUGUGAGGCCUCCAGUCUUCAGGUCCCAAGCUGACUGUAAUCUGGAACACUUGUGUGUACAUCAUGUGGGCCACCAUUCCCAGAAGACCUGUUGAGUAAUCCACAUGUCCACUGGAAUUAAAGAGGAGCAUUAAGGCCCCAAAUGAAAAGGGCUAUUGGGUAUUCAGCAAAUCAAAUAAUCAAAAAUUCAAAAAGCAGCAGCUGUUCUGGCUUUAUAAAUGUGAGGGUUUACCCACAAUGCAUCUGAUAUUAAGUAAAACGUUUAAUUCUGUGAAAUAUUGUUUUAUAAAUCUUAUGUUUUUUUUUUUAAAUAAAAUGUAAUGGAAAAGCUG
RNAcentral lists this long non-coding RNA (643 nucleotides) under Danio rerio (zebrafish). Its description in RNAcentral is "si:dkey-20j1.2 (ENSDARG00000096409.4)". The record is from RNAcentral. Lineage: Eukaryota; Metazoa; Chordata; Actinopteri; Cypriniformes; Danionidae.